CAACGUUCACUUUGCUGAUACGCAAAGCGCAUCACACCUCAGGCCAUGGAACGGGGACCUGGG
This is a regulatory RNA element of Synechococcus sp. WH 5701, 63 nucleotides long. It matches the Rfam family "Glutamine-II riboswitch aptamer". From Rfam's summary of the family: The major groove of the PK provides the binding site for L-glutamine The record is from Rfam. Lineage: Bacteria; Bacillati; Cyanobacteriota; Cyanophyceae; Synechococcales; Synechococcaceae.